UACGGGGGGGGCAAGCGUUGUUCGGAAUUACUGGGCGUAAAGGGCUCGUAGGUGGCCAACUAAGUCAGACGUGAAAUCCCUCGGCUUAACCGGGGAACUGCGUCUGAUACUGGAUGGCCUGAGUUUGGGAGAGGGACGCGGAAUUCCAGGUGUAGCGGUGAAAUGCGUAGAUAUCUGGAGGAACACCGGUGGCGAAGGCGGCGUCCUGGACCAACACUGACACUGAGGAGCGAAAGCCAGGGGAGCAAACGGG
RNAcentral lists this ribosomal RNA (253 nucleotides) under uncultured bacterium. RNAcentral describes it as "partial 16S ribosomal RNA". It matches the Rfam family "Bacterial small subunit ribosomal RNA", at positions 524 to 776 of the family's 1533-position model. The record is from RNAcentral.